GUUGGAAAAAUAAGACAUAUACUGAAAUUUUAACGACACAGUGAAUAUUAGGUUCCUGUGCAAGGAUGACGCGCACAUUUGUGAAGCAUUACACACAUUU
Molecule: non-coding RNA, 100 nt
Organism: Pelobates cultripes (western spadefoot toad)
Lineage: Eukaryota; Metazoa; Chordata; Amphibia; Anura; Pelobatidae
Source: the annotation of a GenBank genome assembly